This 240-nucleotide long non-coding RNA is filed under the name Carica papaya (papaya). RNAcentral's name for it is "long non-coding RNA (CPAP_LNC015607)". Lineage: Eukaryota; Viridiplantae; Streptophyta; Magnoliopsida; Brassicales; Caricaceae. The record is from RNAcentral.
AUGUUGUGUGUUGUCUUUUUGGCAUGAACUACUGGUUUGCAUGUUUGUGUGUGACUUGAUGAUGGUGACUAAAGAAAAAGGGAUAAAAUGUUAUGUGAAUUGGCAAACGGAUAAUGUGAACAGCCUGACUAGGUAUCCUGGGAGAUGGUGGACGGACCGGGUCCGUAGGGAACCCUACCGGGAACGUGGUCUCUCAUACCGGACGGGGUAUGGAGACCUUAUGUGUUUUGGCACCCAUAC